AUGAGGGAGCGCCAUGGGAGAACCCAGCCCGCGCGAGUAUCCAUGGAGGCGGCUGGCGGGAGAGAUCGUCCUAGCAAGGUGGAUCUAGCGUCCCAUCGUAGAUACCCUGGCCCAUGUAAGAAGGCCACGGUGGAAGCGCCUCAUCUAAGCAAGCAACCAUGGUUCUCAAUAUUCAUAUUGAUUUUGAAUUUGGGUAGCAGGGGCAUUUACUUUGUAGAGGAGGAAAAUUCAGAAGGAUGCAGCGGAAGAUGUCCUGCAAGAAUACCAAAAAGGCUGCAGGCGAGAGACAAAGAUGGGAACAUAGGAUGUCCAGAUGCUGUUGUAGAGGCUUCUCACUAUGUCCAUUUGUGUUGUGUUGUUCCUUGCCAGAAUACUAUGCAUGUGCACCGCUGCUAA
This 396-nucleotide ribosomal RNA is filed under the name Triticum aestivum (bread wheat). RNAcentral describes it as "partial small subunit ribosomal RNA". Lineage: Eukaryota; Viridiplantae; Streptophyta; Magnoliopsida; Poales; Poaceae. The record is from RNAcentral.